AGAGUUUGAUCCUGGCUCAGGAUGAACGCUAGCGGCAGGCUUAAUACAUGCAAGGCGAAGGGGCACUUCGGUGUCACUGUCGUACGGGUGCGUAACGCGUAUGCAACCUACCUAUCACUGGGGGAUAGCCCGGGGAAACCCGGAUUAAUACCGCAUAAAACAGGGGCACCGCAUGGUGAUAUUUGUUAAAGAUUUAUUGGUGAUAGAUGGGCAUGCGUUCGAUUAGCUAGUUGGCGGGGUAACGGCCCACCAAGGCGACGAUCGAUAGGGGAGCUGAGAGGUUGAUCCCCCACACGGGCACUGAGAUACGGGCCCGACUCCUACGGGAGGCAGCAGUAGGGAAUAUUGGGCAAUGGAUGCAAGUCUGACCCAGCCAUGCCGCGUGCCGGAUGAAGGCCCUCAGGGUUGUAAACGGCUUUUAUUCGGGAAGAAGAGCAGGGAUGCGUCCUUGUGUGACGGUACCGAAUGAAUAAGCACCGGCUAACUCCGUGCCAGCAGCCGCGGUAAUACGGAGGGUGCGAGCGUUGUCCGGAUUUAUUGGGUUUAAAGGGUGCGUAGGUGGCUGUUUAAGUCAGUGGUGAAAUACGGUUGCUCAACAAUCGAGGUGCCAUUGAUACUGAAUAGCUUGAAAUAAUUGGAGGCUGCCGGAAUGGAUGGUGUAGCGGUGAAAUGCAUAGAUAUCAUCCAGAACACCGAUUGCGAAGGCAGGUGGCUACGAUUGGUUUGACACUGAGGCACGAAAGCAUGGGGAGCAAACAGGAUUAGAUACCCUGGUAGUCCAUGCUGUAAACGAUGAGGACUCGCUGUUUGAUGGUAGCAUUGAGCGGCUUAGGGAAACCGUUAAGUCCUCCUCCUGGGGAGUACGCCGGCAACGGUGAAACUCAAAGGAAUUGACGG
Molecule: ribosomal RNA, 897 nt
Filed under: uncultured bacterium
Lineage: Bacteria
Description: bacterial SSU rRNA
Rfam family: Bacterial small subunit ribosomal RNA
Source: RNAcentral